AUCCACUUUGACUAACUGCUGGUAAUUGCCCAGGUACACACAGUUAGCCCCCCACAGUUGUGAGAUGAUGUGAUGUUGCUUAAGCUUCUUAGAGAGAUGUUUAAGUGGUUCUUGUUACCCCAUGUUGGGGGUGGUGUGAAAGCAUGCCCAUGGACAGCUGAUGUGUUAACCUGACAGGCUGAAUCUUGUUUUUCCAUUUAUUUUCAGGUUUGUUGAGAGACUUAAAUGGGAACAACUGCUAGACUACAUUGUGUUAACCUCCCAAUGAUGCCUACAUACAUUUCUUCCUAUAGAAAAUAGGGUUUAUGGGGAAAAGAGAUUAAAAAAAUCUUGUACAUUAAUUUUCCUUGCAAACUGAAAGCCAGAAAGUGGCAAAAACAUCCUCUGUGCCUUGAUAUGCCACAGAUCAAGACAAGACAUGCCAGGAACAGAAAGACUUAAAGAACAACAGACUUUACAUGAAGCAAAGUCCUCAUAUGCUACGCGUUACACGGCCCGAAUGACUUCCAGGAGUGAAGUGAUGGGAUUGUUAUUUGCUGCACGUGAUUUUCUCUCUCCCCUUCUUUCCAAAGGGUCAGUGAGGAGAAUAGAAGACUCAGGUUACAGUGCUCCCAGGAGGACCUCACAGUGGGAGAACGUUAAAUAUUGUGGAUUAAUGGUGGAGUGUCAACAGAAGAUUUGGGCCUUUGCUGCCAGAAGGCUGCAUGCAUGGUGUUGCCAUCACAUCUGCUGAAUGUGCUGGAGCUUUCCUAUCAAGGUUUUAGUUUUCUGCCACUGAUUUUAUUUUUAAAUUUUUUGAGACAUUAGAAGAUCUUGAGCCACUACUGUGUAUCAGCAGCUGAAAGGAUUUGUGAGGAUGAAUGUAACUAUUUGCUCCAAAAAACCUACAUAGCUCUUUUCACUCCUUUUGUCAAGUAUCCAUGAACACAUUUAAGUUUUAGAGAGCCCUGGAGUAGUUCUUACUGCAGUAUUUGACCAAUGCAUUGUACGGACUGCUCUCCCUUUGUAAGUGAUGAGAGCUUUUCUGUGCAGGCAGCCCAACCACUGAAAGGUCAACAGUCUGAUGCUGGCUUAAAAGCCACGAGAUUGGUAAAUUAGAGGACAGCAUUUUAAAGUUAAAUUUCCUAACUUGUUUUCUGAUCCGCUAUGCUUGUCAUUAUCAACUACAUUUUCCUCUUUUGGUCUUCUCUCUUUCCCCUCCCAUUCUCUUAUAUCUGUUGUCAACCAACUUUGACUAUAAUGGUAAAAUUGCUUUUUG
Molecule: long non-coding RNA, 1258 nt
Filed under: Phasianus colchicus (ring-necked pheasant)
Lineage: Eukaryota; Metazoa; Chordata; Aves; Galliformes; Phasianidae
Description: lncRNA (ENSPCLG00000009395.1)
Source: RNAcentral